RNAcentral lists this ribosomal RNA (362 nucleotides) under Vibrio parahaemolyticus. RNAcentral describes it as "bacterial LSU rRNA". It matches the Rfam family "Bacterial large subunit ribosomal RNA", at positions 2587 to 2925 of the family's 2925-position model. Lineage: Bacteria; Pseudomonadati; Pseudomonadota; Gammaproteobacteria; Vibrionales; Vibrionaceae. The record is from RNAcentral.
UUUAAAGUGGUACGCGAGCUGGGUUUAGAACGUCGUGAGACAGUUCGGUCCCUAUCUGCCGUGGGCGUUGGAAGAUUGAAGGGGGCUGCUCCUAGUACGAGAGGACCGGAGUGGACGAACCUCUGGUGUUCGGGUUGUGUCGCCAGACGCAUUGCCCGGUAGCUAAGUUCGGAAUCGAUAACCGCUGAAAGCAUCUAAGCGGGAAGCGAGCCCUGAGAUGAGUCUUCCCUGAUACUUUAAGUAUCCUAAAGGGUUGUCGGAGACUACGACGUUGAUAGGUCAGGUGUGUAAGUGCUGUGAGGCAUUGAGCUAACUGAUACUAAUUGCCCGUGAGGCUUAACCAUACAACACCCAAGGGGUUU